This 731-nucleotide long non-coding RNA is filed under the name Sus scrofa (pig). Its description in RNAcentral is "lncRNA (ENSSSCG00060037412.1)". The record is from RNAcentral. Lineage: Eukaryota; Metazoa; Chordata; Mammalia; Artiodactyla; Suidae.
GGAAGCAGCAGGCAAGUAAUUUUGGCAGAAUCUUUCUCAAUGAGUUUCUAGUUGUUUUAUUGUUUAUUUAGAGUGCAGGGGCGAGUAAUAAUGAAGAAACUGGCACCAAUAGUUAAGAUUCAGCAAAUUUCCUCUCGCAGCUCUGCCAGCUCUUCACCUUCUACGCAGAAUGGAAAGAGAAACAAAAGCUGGAAGAAUUGGCAGUGGAUUUUAACUGUAAGAAAUAUCAAAGUUCUCAAGCUGAAGGAGUGUAAGAAGGCCUCACACCAAAUGAAUGGGGAAGGUCACCAUGGAAACAUUUGUCUCUCUAGCUGACUCACUGCAACCCCCGUAACUGCGGAACCACAUCCUGUCUGCCAUCUGAAUUGCACUGGGUGAAGCCAGAGAUUUGGCAUCGCCUAUAGAACCAUAUUCUGUUUAAAAGCUAUUUAAAAUCUAUGCCAAGGAAACAUUCCUCAGACUCGGGGUAAAAACACCAUCUGAGAUGGGUUUAAGUGGGUGAUGCCAGGCAAUUACUCGUUAACACCUCUUAAUAAACACACGCAGUAAACAUUACCUGUGGUUUUCCAGCUCCCAGUUACUGCACGAUGUUGUAGUUUCUGGAAGCGCCCAUGUAGGAAGUGAGCAAAACACCCGCACUCUCACAUUUCAGAAAGGAUUCUCCUCAGGGUUAGUGUGCUCUCUCAACCUGUAUCACAGUGAACUGGAGGGGAAUAAAAAGGUCUUUGCUG